Long non-coding RNA from Herpailurus yagouaroundi (jaguarundi), 446 nucleotides. RefSeq lists it as uncharacterized. The record is from RefSeq and is a predicted model, not a curated record. NCBI's taxonomy places the organism in Eukaryota, Metazoa, Chordata, Mammalia, Carnivora, Felidae. The transcript has 2 exons.
UGAGGGGAUGUGCUGAGGAGAGGAGGAGGCCAGUGCCCCCUGUGUCUCCCAACCAGGGAUCUGUGACUGACGGUCGUUCCUCACUUGGGACCAGCACAAGCCACCACCAACUUCAGGCAGGACUCCAGAGAAGACUCUUGCACAUCCUGAAUGGCCAGCAAAGUUUCAAACCGGGCAAGCUGAUAGCCGGGCAGACGGGGGAGAUUAGCAUACGGGAGCGGGAGCACUGCGGAGGGCAGGCAGUCUGGAAGUUCCAAAGAGCUGCCAUUUCAUGCAUAUGCAGCACUUUCCCAGAGCCAAAGGCAAUGGGACUGCAAUCACUUUUUUCUGUGUAUCUAUUCGAAGGUAGAAGCAGGUAUGCGGUUUCCUAAAGCUGCAGCCGAAACAGUGUAGAUAUGCCUAAUUUGGUAAAAAUAAACAGUAAGGAUUUCAAAGGACAUUCACAA